GGGAUAACACUUGGAAACAGGUGCUAAUACCGUAUAACACUAUUUUCCGCAUGGAAGAAAGUUGAAAGGCGCUUUUGCGUCACUGAUGGAUGGACCCGCGGUGCAUUAGCUAGUUGGUGAGGUAACGGCUCACCAAGGCCACGAUGCAUAGCCGACCUGAGAGGGUGAUCGGCCACACUGGGACUGAGACACGGCCCAGACUCCUACGGGAGGCAGCAGUAGGGAAUCUUCGGCAAUGGACGAAAGUCUGACCGAGCAACGCCGCGUGAGUGAAGAAGGUUUUCGGAUCGUAAAACUCUGUUGUUAGAGAAGAACAAGGAUGAGAGUAGAACGUUCAUCCCUUGACGGUAUCUAACCAGAAAGCCACGGCUAACUACGUGCCAGCAGCCGCGGUAAUACGUAGGUGGCAAGCGUUGUCCGGAUUUAUUGGGCGUAAAGCGAGCGCAGGCGGUUUCUUAAGUCUGAUGUGAAAGCCCCCGGCUCAACCGGGGAGGGUCAUUGGAAACUGGGAGACUUGAGUGCAGAAGAGGAGAGUGGAAUUCCAUGUGUAGCGGUGAAAUGCGUAGAUAUAUGGAGGAACACCAGUGGCGAAGGCGGCUCUCUGGUCUGUAACUGACGCUGAGGCUCGAAAGCGUGGGGAGCGAACAGGAUUAGAUACCCU
This 661-nucleotide ribosomal RNA is filed under the name uncultured bacterium. RNAcentral's name for it is "bacterial SSU rRNA". It matches the Rfam family "Bacterial small subunit ribosomal RNA", at positions 140 to 788 of the family's 1533-position model. The record is from RNAcentral.